RNAcentral lists this ribosomal RNA (454 nucleotides) under uncultured bacterium. Its description in RNAcentral is "bacterial SSU rRNA". It matches the Rfam family "Bacterial small subunit ribosomal RNA", at positions 91 to 561 of the family's 1533-position model. The record is from RNAcentral.
GCUAGCGGCGGACGGGUGAGUAACACGUGGGCAACCUGCCUCAUAGAGGGGAAUAGCCUUCCGAAAGGAAGAUUAAUACCGCAUAAGAUUGUAGCUUCGCAUGAAGUAGCAAUUAAAGGAGCAAUCCGCUAUGAGAUGGGCCCGCGGCGCAUUAGCUAGUUGGUGAGGUAACGGCUCACCAAGGCGACGAUGCGUAGCCGACCUGAGAGGGUGAUCGGCCACAUUGGGACUGAGACACGGCCCAGACUCCUACGGGAGGCAGCAGUGGGGAAUAUUGCACAAUGGGGGAAACCCUGAUGCAGCAACGCCGCGUGAGUGAUGACGGCCUUCGGGUUGUAAAGCUCUGUCUUCAGGGACGAUAAUGACGGUACCUGAGGAGGAAGCCACGGCUAACUACGUGCCAGCAGCCGCGGUAAUACGUAGGUGGCGAGCGUUGUCCGGAUUUACUGGGCGU